Molecule: ribosomal RNA, 478 nt
Filed under: uncultured bacterium
Lineage: Bacteria
Description: partial 16S ribosomal RNA
Rfam family: Bacterial small subunit ribosomal RNA
Source: RNAcentral
GAUGAACGCUGGCGGCGUGCUUAACACAUGCAAGUCGAACGGGAAAUAUUUCAUUGAGACUUCGGUGGAUUUGAUUUAUUUCUAGUGGCGGACGGGUGAGUAACGCGUGGGUAACCUGCCUUAUACAGGGGGAUAACAGUCAGAAAUGGCUGCUAAUACCGCAUAAGCGCACAGAGCUGCAUGGCUCAGUGUGAAAAACUCCGGUGGUAUAAGAUGGACCCGCGUUGGAUUAGCUAGUUGGUGGGGUAACGGCCCACCAAGGCGACGAUCCAUAGCCGGCCUGAGAGGAUGAACGGCCACAUUGGGACUGAGACACGGCCCAGACUCCUACGGGAGGCAGCAGUGGGGAAUAUUGCACAAUGGGGGAAACCCUGAUGCAGCGACGCCGCGUGAAGGAAGAAGUAUCUCGGUAUGUAAACUUCUAUCAGCAGGGAAGAUAGUGACGGUACCUGACUAAGAAGCCCCGGCUAACUACGUG